Molecule: long non-coding RNA, 673 nt
Filed under: Mus pahari (shrew mouse)
Lineage: Eukaryota; Metazoa; Chordata; Mammalia; Rodentia; Muridae
Description: lncRNA (MGP_PahariEiJ_G0006495.1)
Source: RNAcentral
GAGGCCCUCUGCAGCCGGACAAGGCAGCGAUCCAGGGCCCUGCUUCCUGCUGUAGCUAGCCUGCCUCUUCCAGUCCAAUUCCCAAGUGCCUGAGAAAUCCAGACGAGGACAUGGGAUCGUUUGACCCUGAAGUUUACAGAUGGGAGGAAGCUGGGACUCAAAACCUGGCCCUCUGGAAGAGUAUGUAGUCUCAACUGCAGAACAAUAUCUUCAGCCUCUCUGGAGUGAGAAAGGUCAACCAUGGAAAGUAACCCUUUACUGGGAGAACUUUAUAGGUGAAGAAUCCAGCAGCUCAUUCAUGAAAGAAUUGCUGGCAGCAAUGCAGACUCCUGAGCCCUAGGAAUUCAAAUUCAGCUGCUACAACAUGGAGCAGAAGAUCCCCUUCAAGGACUUCAGGCUCAGCUGUGCCUGGGCACUAUCUCGAAACAUCCUCAGCACAUUCUGUUCAAAAGAGUCCUCAAAAUCACACAGUGUUCUCGCAAAGGCAUCAUCAGGACUAUGGGGCAAGCAGCAAUCCAGCUCAGUGCCUCUUCUACCACGGAUGGGCUAUGUGUUCUUGCAGGCCACCUGCUCUCUCCUCGGCCUCUCCUGCUGCCUUGAGAGGAAGGAAGGUCUGGAAAACAUAGGCUUACCAAGUUCAAAUGUAUCAGGGCUUCAAAGACGGCUGUAUUUU